This 250-nucleotide small RNA is filed under the name Yersinia pseudotuberculosis IP 32953. The record is from RNAcentral. RNAcentral also lists the same sequence under 11 other names. Lineage: Bacteria; Pseudomonadati; Pseudomonadota; Gammaproteobacteria; Enterobacterales; Yersiniaceae.
GAACGGAGAGAAGAAAUACAAGUAAAAUUAAUAAAUUAAAAAAAGACCGAAUACGAUUCCUGAUAUUCGGUCUAGGGAAAUGGCUCUUGGGAGAGAGCCGUGCGCUAAAAGUUGGUAUUAAUGUAGGCUUAUUCAGCCGCACUUCUUAAGCGUAGCCGAGUACCGACAUUUCGCCAACCUUGUAGCGGAACUAAAUAAUCACUGAUGUAAAUUAAUUAAGUAAUUUUACAGUUUUGGCCGAAUAAAAAUA